GCUGGGUGUGGUGGCUUACGCCUGUAAUCCCAGCACUUUGGGAGGCUGAGGUGGGUGGAUCACCUGAGGUCAGGAGUUCAAGACCAGCCUGGCCAACAUGGUGAAACCCCAUCUCUA
This 117-nucleotide non-coding RNA is filed under the name Chlorocebus sabaeus (green monkey). Lineage: Eukaryota; Metazoa; Chordata; Mammalia; Primates; Cercopithecidae. The record is from Rfam by way of RNAcentral.